Bos taurus (domestic cattle) is the source of this 2584-nucleotide long non-coding RNA. The record is from Ensembl. NCBI's taxonomy places the organism in Eukaryota, Metazoa, Chordata, Mammalia, Artiodactyla, Bovidae.
GCUCUGGGUCUCUGUUUUGAUGGUAAACACUAGCCUCAGGGGCUCAACCACCAGAUCAAUGGAAGCCUGAGGGACCAUGCUGUUGCCCUUUUCUGACCCUCAUGACUUUAGUCAACUGAAGCUUGGACUCUGAGGACCACCCAAGCCCCUUCAUGAAUCUGCAUGUAUCCUUAGCUUAAAUUUCCCCAGUUUUGCUCUUGAGGAGACACUGCUUUGGGAAAGAUCCCACAGUGUUCUCCUUACUUCUGCAGUUAAUACCUCCUUCUCCUCUCCUGCUCUUUGGCUUGGGUUGUAUCCUUUGGCUCUACAGCCACGACGAGGCAAACCCAAGUUGGGCUAACGUUCACUGCUUCUGCUUCACGGAUGAAGAAAGAAAGGAUGAACCGAUUUGCUCAAGAAAGUGGUAGGUAGGGCUACGCCCAGGUUUCUGUCUCCAAGUUCAGUUUUCUUUUUCCACAGCUGUCUCCUAUCUGGGAGGAUGCCAACACACUCAAAAUGAAGUUUAUUAAAGGCCAGGAGGAAAACAGAAGUGAGAAGAGAGCCAGUCACACUUCCAGAGGUCCUGAUGCAGUUGUAGAGGCCUCCCUCACAGGACCAGGCUGGCCCAGGCCUGCCGCUGCACCCAGAAACCCUUUCUUCGGAACUAAGAUGCCCUUUCCACUCACUCUUCCUUUCUCUGCGUUCCCCCAUCCAGGGGACUGCCUUCCAAGGCUUUUGAAGAAACAGUGGAUAAGGACUACAUAUCACAGCCUCAGCUAAGGGGCCUGUGCCCCAGGCAGGAGCUAUUUCCCCAAACAGACUGUUCCCUGCAACGUGACAGAUGUCAGAUAAAAGACUGCUUUCAUCUCGAGAUCCGCCCAAACCCGGGCCUAACCUGCACUCAGGGCCUGGAGGGUGUUCCCCUCCACACACACACUCCACAGGCACCAGCAAGUUCUGGGCUAUCUGUAGCCCCAGCCCCACCUCUCCCUCUACUCUAGAAGGGAGGAGACAAAAAUAAGGAGGAACAGAGACCACUGGAUAUAAAAGAACUGGGAAGAGGAUCCCUGUUUGACCACUCCCAAGAACAGCCUCCAGCCUCAACUCUGAAAGUCUCCAGGCUUUGCAAGUGGGGAAAUGAUGACAUGACAUCUCACUGCAAUGAAGUCUCGGCCUUGGGAAUACUAUUGAGUGUUCCAGUUCCCACAGGGAGUUGCUUUCUUUCAACCUCAAUUUGAAGAGGAUGAGUGAAACUGCAAAAGACACUCCCAUGCCACUGUUUGCCCAGGUGUAGGAUCCCAGGGCUCAGGAGGAGGCUUGGUGUUUGAAGAGCAUGGCAAAGGGCAGUCAAUGCCCUCCCCACAGGAAAGCACAUGGGCACACCCACAUCCAGUACCCUCUGCCUCCACGGAGCUCCAGGGGCAGGUGAAUUAUUCACAAACUGAACCAAUGUCUUUAUUAUACUCAGCCUAUUCCUUCCAUGCAUACAAGAUUUAGGAAAGCUUUUUAUUAAAAACACCAAAUGUAUUUUAAACGGUCAAAUAGAAAGAUCCAAAAUCUUAUGAAGGACACUGGAAAUGAACUGGGACAGACGUCCUGACAGCACCUGAGCUUCCUGUCGGCUGGAAUGAGUGGAGACACACUGUGCUCCAGAAACUCCAUCGAGAAGCCAAGAGUUUUCCCAACAGCAGAUUCUGAAAAGGGUUUCCUGAGUCUGCUACCUAGUAGACAACGUUGUCAACAGAGAUUUUCUGGAAGAUGAGCAGCUUUCCACAUGGGCCCAACUCUGAGGGUGACUCCAGUACUGACCAAGGACAAAGUAUUGAAAGCAGAGAGAGGUGGUCUCUCUGUGGAUACAAGGUGGCUCACCUCAGGCAGCGUGAUUUAUGGGGAAAACCUGGCCAUACCUAGGAAUGGGUGGUAUCACUUAUCUCAGUGUUGUUUUGCUUAUCUACCUAUGAAUGCCAGUGGUUGUAUCACAUGGUGUGUGGCCAGGUCGGAGUGCCUAUAGUCCUGAUCAACUGCUGAGCUCCCAAAGGAAAUAGGCACCAAGGCUCCUCUAGGCAAGUAAAGAAUCCACCUGCCAAUGCAGGAGACACAGGAGAUGUGGGUUUAAUCCCUGGGUAGGAAAGAUCUCUUGGAGAAGGAAAUGGCAACACAUUCCAGUAUUCUUACCUGGAGAAUGCCAUGGACAGAGGAGCCUGGCGGGCUACAGUCCAUGGGUUUACAAAGAGUCGGACACAACUGAAGCGACUGAGCACAACACAGCUCUAGGGAAAACCCUUCUAUUGAUUGCUUCAAGAUUUUGGCCUCUGUGAGGCAGCUUGGUGGGCUAGUCUGGACAGUUUGGGGCAGGGAACUCCUGUGGCUGGUCUCAGGGGGUACCCAGAGGCCUUUUUGGAGUGGCCCUGGGCUCACAUCCUUGUAUUAGACCUUUAGAUCUUUCCACACUCAAGGUGAGAAGGCAUGACCUCACGGUAAAGAACACUGCUGACAGGAGGAAAGGGUGUCUGUAGAGCCCAGGGCAGAGCUGGUCCAGGCACCUCCCGGGUGAUGAAAGAUGCUGGCUGUUCUCCGGUGCCGGCUGUUGUCCAGUGCUGGCUGC